CAAGCCCAAGAAAUUUUUUUUUUUUUUGAAGAGUGGUCAAUGAGUGGGCCUCUUCCCCUUCUGCGGGAGUCCGGCCCAUGUAAGGGGCGCACAUAAAACCUAGAAUCUAGGUCAUCCGCUUCCUUACCCAGCCUCCACGACACUGUCAUUCUCCACAGAUUGGCAAAAAGGCAGCACAAAAGCUGAGAAUCCCGUGAUGGGUUUCUUCUCUUUUGCCUGUUGGAGGGGAAGCAAAAAAGGGUCAAAUGGCAUUUGCUUACUUGACAAAGUACUUGGUUGAUUGGCUACCCAAGACUCACCAAUGAAUUGAGUGCAAAUGUUUAGUUUUCUGCUUGAAUACUAAGAUUGUAACCUUUAUAUUGCAAGGAUUAGACCUUGGGGGUAGAGCUUUUGAUUUUGUUUUUGCCUUGGAUUUUUGUAAUGCCCAGUUUCUGCUUCUAGCUGAUCCUCUGCUUAUUUAUUUAUUUAUUUUUGCUUCUGGUUA
Molecule: long non-coding RNA, 484 nt
Organism: Malania oleifera
Lineage: Eukaryota; Viridiplantae; Streptophyta; Magnoliopsida; Santalales; Ximeniaceae
Exons: 2
Source: RefSeq, a predicted model, not a curated record